Molecule: ribosomal RNA, 460 nt
Filed under: uncultured bacterium
Lineage: Bacteria
Description: partial 16S ribosomal RNA
Rfam family: Bacterial small subunit ribosomal RNA
Source: RNAcentral
CCUACGGGAGGCAGCAGUGAGGAAUAUUGGUCAAUGGGCGCGAGCCUGAACCAGCCAAGUAGCGUGAAGGAUGACUGCCCUACGGGUUGUAAACUUCUUUUAUAAAGGAAUAAAGUGAGGCGCGUGUGCCUUUUUCUAUGUACUUUAUGAAUAAGGAUCGGCUAACUCCGUGCCAGCAGCCGCGGUACUAUGGAGGAUGCGAGCGUUAUCCGGAUUUAUUGGGUUGAAAGGGAAAGUAGAUGGGUUGUUAAGUCAGUUGUGAAAGUUUGCGGCUCAACCGUAAAAUUGCAAUUGAGACUGGCAGCCUGGAGUAUAGUUGAGGUAGGCAGAAUUCGUGGUGUAGCGGUGAAAUGCUUAGAGAUCACGAAGAACUCCGAUUGCGAAGGCAGCCUACUAAACUGCCACUGACAUUGAUGCUCGAAAGUGUGGGUAUCAAACAGGAUUAGAUACCCCAGUAGUC